AUUGAACGCUGGCGGCAUACCUUACGCAUGCAAGUCGAACGGUAACGCGGGGCAACCUGGCGACGAGUGGCGAACGGGUGAGUAAUGUAUCGGAACGUGCCCAGUCGUGGGGGAUAACGUAGUGAAAAUUACGCUAAUACCGCAUACGAUCUAUGGAUGAAAGCGGGGGAUGGCAAGACCUCGUGCGGUUGGAGGGGCCGAUAUCAGAUUAGGUAGUGGGUGGGGUAAAGGCCCACCAAGCCAACGAUCUGUAGCUGGUCUGAGAGGACGACCAGCCACACUGGAACUGAGACACGGUCCAGACUCCUACGGGAGGCAGCAGUGGGGAAUUUUGGACAAUGGGCGAAAGCCUGAUCCAGCCAUUCCGCGUGCAGGAUGAAGGCCCUCGGGUUGUAAACUGCUUUUGUACAGAACGAAAAGGUUUCUACUAAUACUAGGAGCUCAUGACGGUACUGUAAGAAUAAGCACCGGCUAACUACGUGCCAGCAGCCGCCGUAA
Molecule: ribosomal RNA, 498 nt
Filed under: uncultured bacterium
Lineage: Bacteria
Description: partial 16S ribosomal RNA
Rfam family: Bacterial small subunit ribosomal RNA
Source: RNAcentral